AGCGAACGCUGGCGGCAGGCUUAACACAUGCAAGUCGAGCGGGCACUUUCGGGUGUCAGCGGCGGACGGGUGAGUAACGCGUGGGAACGUGCCCUCUGGUUCGGAAUAACUCAGGGAAACUUGAGCUAAUACCGGAUACGCCCUUUUGGGGAAAGGCUUGCUGCCGGAGGAUCGGCCCGCGUCUGAUUAGCUAGUUGGUGAGGUAACGGCUCACCAAGGCGACGAUCAGUAGCUGGUCUGAGAGGAUGAUCAGCCACACUGGGACUGAGACACGGCCCAGACUCCUACGGGAGGCAGCAGUGGGGAAUAUUGGACAAUGGGCGCAAGCCUGAUCCAGCCAUGCCGCGUGAGUGAUGAAGGCCUUAGGGUUGUAAAGCUCUUUUAUCCGGGACGAUAAUGACGGUACCGGAGGUAUAAGCCCCGGCUAACUUCGUG
Molecule: ribosomal RNA, 435 nt
Filed under: uncultured bacterium
Lineage: Bacteria
Description: partial 16S ribosomal RNA
Rfam family: Bacterial small subunit ribosomal RNA
Source: RNAcentral